AUGGAGGCCACCACCCUGCGGAAGCGGCCGCUCUCGAUCAAGACGGCCGCCGGACGCGAAGGGCGGACGGCGGCGGAAGCAGAGCUGGGGGAGCCGGUCAGCCCCUCCGCGAGGCUCGUGGAGGACUUCUACAUCAUCGUCCUCAUGGGCGCCUCCACGCCCCUCAACCUCCCCGCCCUCCGCGCCGGCAUCGAGGCCCAGCUCGCACGCUACCCGCACUUCCGCAGCAUCCAGGUAACGGACAAGGACGGCGAGCUGCGGUGGGCGCCGACGACGGUGAACGUGGAAAACCACCUGAUCCGCCCGACGCUGGACCCGGCCGCCGUGCCGGCCAACCCGGACAAGGCCGUGGAGGACUACGUGGCGUCCCUGUCGACGCUGCCCAUGGACCGGUCCCAGCCGCUGUGGGAGUUCCACCUCUUCGACUUCCCGACCUCCGAGGCGACCUCCACCGCCGCGAUCCGCGUGCACCACUCCCUCGGGGACGGCAUGUCUCUGCUCACGCUCCUCAUGGCCUGCACGCGCAGCGCCGCCGACCCGACCAGGCUGCCGGCCAUGCCGCCGCUGCCAUCGCGUACGGGCGCCAUCUACCAGCGACCGCGCCCUUCGGCGGGCGUCCUGGCGUACCUCCUUUGGGUCUGGUCCUUCGUCGUGCUCGCCUGGCACACCGUGGUGGACGUCGUCGGCUUCUUCGCGACCAUACUGUUCUUGAAGGAUCCGCACACGCUGUUCAAGCGGGUGAACCACGCGGAGACGCAGCGCAAGCGCAUCGUGCACCAGAGGCUUAGCCUCAACGACGUCAAGUUCGUCAAGAACGCCAUGAAAUGCACAGUUAACGAUGUGUUGAUUGGAGUCACAUACGCUGCCCUGUCGCGCUAUCACUUCCGAAAGUCAGGUGGUGAAACCGACACUCGCAAAGAGAUACGCGUGCGCUCAAUGCUUCUCGUCAACUUAAGGCCGACCACAAGCCUACACGCAUGUGUUGAUAUGAUAAAGUCGGGCAAAGAAAGCCACGUGAAAUGGGGAAAUGAACUUGGGUUCAUCAUCCUUCCGUUCUUCAUCGGCAUGCACAGCGACCCGCUCGACUACGUUCGCAAGGGGAAGAAGGUUGUGGACAGGAAGAAGAGCUCACUGGAGGUGGUAUUCACACAUGUCGCCGCAGAAGUGAUCUUCAAAGUGUUUGGACUGAAGGCAGCUUCGGCUAUCUUCCAUCGUAUGAUCUCCCAUACCACCAUAUCGUUCGCCAACAUGACUGGCCCGGUUGAACAGGUGGAGUUUUGUGGGCAUCCAAUCGUCUUCAUCGCCCCUAGCGGCUAUGGACCGCCAGAAGCCCUAACCGUGAAUUAUCAAAGCUAUGUCAACACCAUCAUGAUAAAUCUAGCACUGGAUGAGGGACACUUUCCUGACUAUGAUGAACUUUUGGAUGACUUUGUUGAAUCCCUUGAGGAUAUUAAGGAUGCAGCUUCACGCCUUGGAAUGCAUCAUGGGAAGGCCUAA
This 1497-nucleotide ribosomal RNA is filed under the name Triticum aestivum (bread wheat). RNAcentral describes it as "partial small subunit ribosomal RNA". Lineage: Eukaryota; Viridiplantae; Streptophyta; Magnoliopsida; Poales; Poaceae. The record is from RNAcentral.